This 46-nucleotide ribosomal RNA is filed under the name Hepatozoon sipedon. RNAcentral's name for it is "partial 5.8S ribosomal RNA". The record is from RNAcentral. Lineage: Eukaryota; Apicomplexa; Hepatozoidae.
AUUUUUAACAAGGGAUACCUUGGUUUGCAUCGAUGAAGGACGCAGC